This 264-nucleotide ribosomal RNA is filed under the name Escherichia coli. Its description in RNAcentral is "partial 23S ribosomal RNA". It matches the Rfam family "Bacterial large subunit ribosomal RNA", at positions 456 to 720 of the family's 2925-position model. Lineage: Bacteria; Pseudomonadati; Pseudomonadota; Gammaproteobacteria; Enterobacterales; Enterobacteriaceae. The record is from RNAcentral. RNAcentral also lists the same sequence under 1 other name.
UCCUCCAAGGCUAAAUACUCCUGACUGACCGAUAGUGAACCAGUACCGUGAGGGAAAGGCGAAAAGAACCCCGGCGAGGGGAGUGAAAAAGAACCUGAAACCGUGUACGUACAAGCAGUGGGAGCACAGAGCAAUCUGUGUGACUGCGUACCUUUUGUAUAAUGGGUCAGCGACUUAUAUUCUGUAGCAAGGUUAACCGAAUAGGGGAGCCGAAGGGAAACCGAGUCUUAACUGGGCGUUAAGUUGCAGGGUAUAGACCCGAAA